AGGAGAACGGACAGAUGGUGAAGCAGAACCUCCUAUCCUGUUUCGAGAGGGGUUCUCGUGGCAGCUUUCGUGAUUCGCCAGAUCGAAGCAUUGCUUCGAAUACAUCACUGUUAUCCAGUGGGUCUCGGCGCCGCUGCAGCGGAGUGAACAAAUCCGGUGCACCAUGCAAAGGCACUUGUGUCAAGGGACAGGAUUUCUGUCAUCACCACUGCUAGUCAUUUCUGCACCACA
Long non-coding RNA from Rhipicephalus sanguineus (brown dog tick), 231 nucleotides. RefSeq lists it as uncharacterized. The transcript is spliced from 2 exons. The record is from RefSeq and is a predicted model, not a curated record. Lineage: Eukaryota; Metazoa; Arthropoda; Arachnida; Ixodida; Ixodidae.